UCCCUGGUGGUCCAGUGGCUAGGACUUGACGCUUUCACUGCCAGUGGCCCAGGUUUGAUCCCUGGUCGAUGAA
Molecule: transfer RNA, 73 nt
Filed under: Bos taurus (domestic cattle)
Lineage: Eukaryota; Metazoa; Chordata; Mammalia; Artiodactyla; Bovidae
Also listed under: 1 other name
Rfam family: tRNA
About the family: Transfer RNA (tRNA) molecules are approximately 80 nucleotides in length. Their secondary structure includes four short double-helical elements and three loops (D, anti-codon, and T loops).
Source: Rfam by way of RNAcentral